Molecule: long non-coding RNA, 435 nt
Organism: Leopardus geoffroyi (Geoffroy's cat)
Lineage: Eukaryota; Metazoa; Chordata; Mammalia; Carnivora; Felidae
Exons: 2
Source: RefSeq, a predicted model, not a curated record
UGCUAGGAAUGCCUGGGUGGCUCAGUGGGUUAAGCAUCCAACUUCAGUUCAGGUCAUAAUCUCAAGGUCUGAGAGUUCAAGCUCAGCGUCAGGUUCUAUGCUGACAGCUCAGAACUCGGAGCCUACUUCAGAUUCUGUCUCCCUCUCUCUGCCCCUCCCCCACUCACCCUCUGUCUCUCUCUCUCAAAAAUAAAUAAACAUUAAAAAAAUUUUUUUAAAAAGAGUUUGAAAAUCUACUUAAAUAAUUACCUUUACUGUUAUAAGAAGAAUGAAUCGAUUGUUUUUUUCCACAAAUUAUUUGGAUACCUUUAUGAAGAGGCCUGAAUGGAUGAAUAAUAUUUCUCCCAUUCAUCAAGCCUGACAGCAUUAUAAAUAAUAUUACUGAUUAUGAUAGUAAGAGCAGUUAAUGUUCACAAAGCCCCUUCUGUGAGCCAG